RNAcentral lists this ribosomal RNA (775 nucleotides) under uncultured Neocallimastigales. RNAcentral's name for it is "partial large subunit ribosomal RNA". It matches the Rfam family "Eukaryotic large subunit ribosomal RNA", at positions 24 to 645 of the family's 3401-position model. Lineage: Eukaryota; Fungi; Neocallimastigomycota; Neocallimastigomycetes; Neocallimastigales. The record is from RNAcentral.
UAUCUCUGUAGAGUCUGCAUAUCAAUAAGCGGAGGAAAAGAAACUAACAAGGAUUCCCCUAGUAACGGCGAGUGAAGCGGGAAGAGCUCAAAUUUGAAAUCUUAAAGGGUUUCCCUUUACGAAUUGUAGUUUAAAGAAGUGUUUUCUGUUGGAGUUUCGGUAAAAGUUCUUUGGAAUAGGACAUCAUAGAGGGUGAGAAUCCCGUAUUUGACCGUUACUUUCCAGCUGUGUGAUACACUUUCAAAGAGUCGGAUUGUUUGGGAAUGCAGUCCAAAAUGGGUGGUAAAUUUCAUCUAAAGCUAAAUAUUGGCGAGAGACCGAUAGCGAACAAGUACCGUGAGGGAAAGAUGAAAAGAACUUUGAAAAGAGAGUUAAACAGUACGUGAAAUUGUCAAGAGGGAAGCGUUUGACACCAGUGUUGUUUAGUUGAAAAUCAAUUAAAUAGUUUUCGAUUUUAAGUAGUAUUGACCUUAUCAGCUUGCUGCUUUCUUCUCGGAAAUUAUUUAAUGCACUUUUCAGUUAACAAGUCAGCAUCAAUUUCUUUUGUUGUAAAAAGGUAAGAGGAAGGUGGCUUGCGCUUCGGCUCAAGUGUUUAUAGCCUUUUACUUCUGCAAUCGGAGAGAUUGAGGUCUGCAGCGUGGAUCCUUCGGGGUUAGAUACAUUUGUGCUAAGCUAUAGCCUUGUAUAGACAACUUGUUGACUAUGAUCAGUCAUGUAGCUUACUCGCUUAUGCUAUUUUACCUACGCUUAGGAUGUUGAUCUCUCACAGUCGAGC